Long non-coding RNA from Rhipicephalus sanguineus (brown dog tick), 468 nucleotides. RefSeq lists it as uncharacterized. The record is from RefSeq and is a predicted model, not a curated record. Lineage: Eukaryota; Metazoa; Arthropoda; Arachnida; Ixodida; Ixodidae. The transcript is spliced from 3 exons.
UGCCAGAACAUAUAAGCAUAAUAUGUUUUUCUAGAUACCGCCUGUGCGAAAAUUUUAGAUUCACGGGAAGCUGAGUUACAGUUACAUCGCCAUUUGCGCAUACAUACUUGUUCAUAUAUUACCGCAAUCUCUUGAUCCACACUACAGAGCUUCUGCAGAAGCCAGCAAUCUACGAUGUCUCCUGUAAAAUUUGCCCUCUUCCUAACUGUUGCAAUCACAGUCAUGGACACAAAUGCUUCAAGUCACAGCACCGGCCAGAACAGCGGCUACAAUAUAGGCAGUUGUCGUAUCAGACUUUGCACUGGUCCAAACGACAGCUCGUGCGGUGGUGGCCCAAACUGCCAGUGCAGAAAAUUUCAGACCGGCGCUAACGUCCAAUAUCGCUGCCAAAUUUAUCAACAAUGGCAGGGAGCAUAACGCUCCAUAUGAGACUUCGUUACAUAAAAAUUAUAGCAAUAAACAUUGCUA